AGGUCAGUCAGCAUCUGAGGAGCAGGAGAAUUGACUUCAUCAGGAAGUUCUCCUCCUCUCUCUACAAAGAUCUCAGUUAGUCCCUCUCCACUGUACUCCCCAAGUCCUCUCCUCUGCCCUGAAGUUCUUCAACUACGUCGUCAAGCAGACAUGCUAUCACAGCCACUUCCAGAUAAAGGGUUCCAGCCAAAACAUCGAUUCUCCUACUCCUCAGAUGCUGCCUGACCUGCUGUGCUUUUCCAGCAACACACUCUCAACUACAACAUGCCAGACUCAUUUUACUUGGGAUAUUUAUACAAGAAGAUACAAGAAUCAUUCCCACCACGAUAUUUGAUCCCCUCAUUGCUCCUGAAAUGCAAAAUUCUGCUGGUAUCUACUGGACUUUGUUGCCUUUUGUAUCCCUAGCAAUCACAUUACGAUCAAAGACUAUUGUGCAGAGCAGUCCUGGAGCAGCACAAGGGAAAGUAUGUCCCAAAAUGAAUGUGCCCUGCAAGGGGAAGUGUGUCCUGGAACAGCGCAAAGGGAAAUGAAUCCUGGUGCAGCGUGAAGGGAAAUGAGUUCUGGAGAUCCAUGAGAGGAAAAGCAACUCCUGAAGCAGUGCAACCUCCCUUGGUGCAAAUGAGUGUUGGUGCGGAACAGACUGGAGGCUUGGAGCAGAACGGGACUGUUGUUGGACUGGGGCGUGGCGGGUGCACUGAGCUGCUGCAAUGUAAUGUCGAUCUGAAAUUCAUUACCAGACCGUAACGUCAAUCCUUGAACUAUGUUAUAAUUAUCUUACUUCUAACGUAUUUUUUAGACACAGUAAGUAAUGCAAUUGCUUUUUCUUUUAAUCCUCUUUUUUGUAUCCAAGAUUUUUAUGCAGGUGCUUGUACCUAAGAUGGUACUAUUAGAGCAAUCAUUGUAAAACUCUACUCCUGCACUUUUGUACUGGAGUACACUUAACAAUAAAGGAUAUUCUCUUCUAAUUUUGAGAAGUAAUACAAGCCUGCCUUUCUUUUUCAUGACCCCCGAACUCUCUGUUGUGCAUUGCCAUCAACUUCUACCUUUGAAGUAAGGUUCAGAGUUUAAACUGUUAUUUUCAGAGCUCUGCAUAAGGAAUGCAUGCCUUUUCUAGGAUCUCCCGAAACUUUUCUGCUUCCACUGUAAAUUUGCGAUUCCACAGUUUAAAGCAAUUGGAUUGGCAAAAAUACAUCUCCACUUAAAAGUAUUUUCAAAUGACCCAGCAAGUUAAUGCUUCAUACCUUGUCCAUUAUCCCCUCCUGGCAAAAUAGUAUUAGCUGGAAUUGAAAAUGGGCCUUCUGCAGUAGGAACCCAUCUACUAUUUUUAAAGGUCUACAGACCAAAUCUGGCUUCUAAUGUCAGCCAGGGCUCUUUUAGCCAUUUUGUAUUCCUCCAUCAACCUUCAAUUUUAUAAUUUGCAUUGUUGUUAUCAAAUCCUUCAAUGGCCUCACCCCUCACUAAUCUCCUCCACCCUCACAAUAUCUGUACUUUUCAAAUCAGACCUAUUCAAUAAUUUAAUUUCCUUGUUAUCUUUGAUAGUCUUUCAGCUGCUGAGGGUCUGAGUUUUAGAAUUCAAUGAAAACAGAAGUGGAUGUGCAGCAGCUGAUUGAGGUACCAAACUUGCAUUAUACCUCAAUACAGCUCAUUUGCAAUGUGCUGAAGUUUAGUUAGAAUACUUUAUUGAGAUUUCUCGUACAGCCAAUUUCAUGACUUUAUUGAAUGCAUUUGCUUCCUAAUUUGCUAUGCCAUCCAUUAUCUCCGCAGAGUUGUAACUAAAAUGUUACUAUGGUUGAUUCCAGUCAGGGAUUCAGGAGAUGUGAGAAUGGAGGAGGUAAAGUCCACAUUUUUGAUACAACCUGAAUGGAAGUGAUCCCACUUUCUGUGUGUUUUAUAGAGAAAAGUGAUGCCUGUGUAUAUGAUAGAGCACAUCAAUCCUUGUUAAUUUAAUACAUAUUAAAAUAUUAUAGAGAACAGCAAUCCAUGUCUAUAUUACAGAGAAC
This is a non-coding RNA of Chiloscyllium plagiosum (whitespotted bambooshark), 2000 nucleotides long. The record is from RefSeq and is a predicted model, not a curated record. NCBI's taxonomy places the organism in Eukaryota, Metazoa, Chordata, Chondrichthyes, Orectolobiformes, Hemiscylliidae.